RNAcentral lists this ribosomal RNA (555 nucleotides) under Penicillium montanense. Its description in RNAcentral is "eukaryotic LSU rRNA". The stretch from base 180 to 333 matches the Rfam family "5.8S ribosomal RNA". Lineage: Eukaryota; Fungi; Ascomycota; Eurotiomycetes; Eurotiales; Aspergillaceae. The record is from RNAcentral.
GGGGAAUCUUGAGUGAGGGCUCUGGGUCCAACCUCCCACCCGUGUUUAUUGUACCUUGUUGCUUCGGUGAGCCCGCCUCACGGCCGCCGGGGGGCUUCUGCCCCCGGGCCCGCGCCCACCGAAGACACCAUUGAACUCUGUCUGAAGAUUGCAGUCUGAGCAUAAACUAAAUAAGUUAAAACUUUCAACAACGGAUCUCUUGGUUCCGGCAUCGAUGAAGAACGCAGCGAAAUGCGAUAACUAAUGUGAAUUGCAGAAUUCAGUGAAUCAUCGAGUCUUUGAACGCACAUUGCGCCCCCUGGUAUUCCGGGGGGCAUGCCUGUCCGAGCGUCAUUGCUGCCCUCAAGCACGGCUUGUGUGUUGGGCUCCGUCCCCCCGGGGACGGGCCCGAAAGGCAGCGGCGGCACCGAGUCCGGUCCUCGAGCGUAUGGGGCUUUGUCACCCGCUCUGUAGGCCCGGCCGGCGCCAGCCGACAACCCAUCAUCCUUUUCAGGUUGACCUCGGAUCAGGUAGGGAUACCCGCUGAACUUAAGCAUAUCAAUAGGCCGGGAGGAA